UGCAGUCGAGCGGCAAGGGCAGCAAUGCCCCUAGAGCGGCGGACUGGUGAGUAACACGUGGGUGAUCUACCUCGGGGUUGGGGAUAGCCAUUAGAAAUAGUGGGUAAUACCGAAUACGCUGCCUUGGCUACGGCCAGGGCAGGAAAGGCGCUACGGCGCCGACCUGAGAUGAGCCCGCGCCCCAUUAGCUAGUUGGUGAGGUAACGGCCCACCAAGGCUAUGAUGGGUAGGCGGCCUGAGAGGGUGUACGCCCACACUGGGACUGAGAUACGGCCCAGACUCCUACGGGAGGCAGCAGCUAAGAAUAUUCCGCAAUGGACGAAAGUCUGACGGAGCGACGCCGCGUGGAUGAUGAAGGCCGGAAGGUUGUAAAAUCCUUUUGUCGGGGAAGAAUAACCAUGGGAGGGAAUGCCCGUGGGAUGACAUGAACCGGCGAAUAAGCCCCGGCUAACUACGUGCC
This 460-nucleotide ribosomal RNA is filed under the name uncultured bacterium. Its description in RNAcentral is "bacterial SSU rRNA". It matches the Rfam family "Bacterial small subunit ribosomal RNA", at positions 56 to 509 of the family's 1533-position model. The record is from RNAcentral.